CGAAAGCCUGACGGAGCAAGACCGCGUGAGGGAGGAAGGCUCUUGGGUUGUAAACCUCUUUUCUCAGGGAAGAAGCUCUGACGGCACCUGAGGAAUCAGCCUCGGCUAACUCCGUGCCAGCAGCCGCGGUAAUACGGAGGAGGCAAGCGUUAUCCGGAAUUAUUGGGCGUAAAGCGUCCGCAGGUGGCGAUUCAAGUCUGCUGUCAAAGCACGGGGCUUAACUCCGUAAAGGCAGUGGAAACUGAAUAGCUAGAGUGCCGUAGGGGUAGAGGGAAUUCCCGGUGUAGCGGUGAAAUGCGUAGAGAUCGGGAAGAACAACGGUGGCGAAAGCACUCUACUGGGUCAUUACUGACACUAAGAGACGAAAGCUAGGGGAGCA
This 379-nucleotide ribosomal RNA is filed under the name uncultured cyanobacterium. RNAcentral's name for it is "bacterial SSU rRNA". It matches the Rfam family "Bacterial small subunit ribosomal RNA", at positions 376 to 770 of the family's 1533-position model. Lineage: Bacteria; Bacillati; Cyanobacteriota. The record is from RNAcentral.